UACGUAGGUGGCAAGCGUUGUCCGGAUUUAUUGGGCGUAAAGCGAGCGCAGGCGGUUUUUUAAGUCUUAUGUGAAAGCCUUCGGCUCAACCGACGAAGUGCAUCGGACACUUGGAAACUUGAGUGCAGAAGAGGACAGUGGAACUCCAUGUGUAGCGGUGAAAUGCGUAGAUAUAUGGAAGAACACCAGUGGCGAAGGCGGCUGUCUGGGCUGUAACUGACGCUGAGGCUCGAAAGUAUGUGUUUCAAACA
Molecule: ribosomal RNA, 251 nt
Filed under: uncultured Pediococcus sp.
Lineage: Bacteria; Bacillati; Bacillota; Bacilli; Lactobacillales; Lactobacillaceae
Description: partial 16S ribosomal RNA
Rfam family: Bacterial small subunit ribosomal RNA
Source: RNAcentral